UGAGAAUUGAAUCUGAUUUUUUAAUAGGCCCAAAUGGCCCAAAAGAGAUUUGAUUUGGGCUGGAUCCAAAAAUAAUGACCCAAUAUAGAUUUGUUAUUAAUAUUACUUAAUUGCCCUUAAUGAAACAUGCAAUGUUAGUGAAGAAAAUAUGCCCCUAAGGUAAUUAUUACAAUAGGAUCCUGCUUUAAUAGUAUAGAUGUCUAGAUUAUUUAACUAUGUGUGUAUUAGUGUAUUUACCUUUUUAAUGAAAUAUUUUGAUCAUUUUGAUUCUUAGGAGCUAUAUUUGUGACAAAACAUUUUAGGGGUAUCUAAGGGUAUUUCUCCAUUUUUUAUUUAUUAAUAUAAUUUUUGUAUCUAGAAAUUUAUAAUCUAAACAUAUAUUGUAUUUUUUAUAUUUUGAUUAUUGUAUAUAACUAUUUAUUUGAUAUUAAUCUCUAACAAAUUAGCUUCCACGUUAAUUUUUUGCACAUUUUCUCUCUGUGGUGUAAAAUUUUAUUGUCUUUUUUAAUUAUUUUUUAGAGUUUUUGUUUUCAGUUUGUGAUCUACAAUACUCUAAUUAUUCUCCUUGUGUUUCAUAUAAGUAUUUUGUAUUUUAAAAUUUGUUUCAAUAUGAAUAUCAAUUUUACAUUUUAUAUAUUAAAAAUAAAUUCAAUCCUUAUCUUUACCUUAUUUAUUGAUCCAAAUAAUGUGGAAUUCUAAUAAAAAUAAUAUAGAAAACUUAAUUAUUUUCUUAAUAUGUGUAUUUGAUAUCCGACUUAUAAUCAGACUUAUGUAUUUGAUUCUUAUUUUUAUUUUUUAUUCUAUCCUUUUUACUAAAUGAUAUACGAUAAUUUUUGUGUAGAUCACUUUUAUAUUUAUACUUUAUCAUUUAUUUAUUUUAAAAAUUAGUUUUUUUUUUUUUUUGUUCAAAUUUUAAAAAUUAGUUUAAGUUCAAGGAUAGAAGUCCAUUUCAUUUAUUUUCUUAAGCUUUUCUCGUUUACCAAAUUUAAAAUUCAACAUUGUAGUAAAUUAAAUAAUUAGCCUUUGUUAAAAAAAUAUUUUAUAAAAUGAUUGCAGUAAAUAUUCUCCAUCGCCAAUAUUAGUAUUGGUUUUUGAAAAAUAUUUUACGUAGAAUAUAUAAUAUGAUAUUUUCAAUCAAAUUCUUCACAUAAAUGUUUGUGCAUUUUUAUUUGUUGAUGUAGUUGCUCUUUCAUUUUGAUGAACUUGGCUACCAAUUUUGAGAAUGAGACCGGCCAUAUGCAUCAGAAUUAGACCAGAGUUAGUAUGACCGACUCUUCUUAGCAGUUAGAACCAGAGAUAGUAUGACCAAUUCUUCUUGAGUUUCAAAGGAAAUUAUUCUUGAGGAAGUCUCAGCUCAGUUUGAGCUUACCAACUCAUCAAAUAAUCUCAACAUCGAUUUGAUUGUUUGUGGCUUCUUCACUCCUCGAUAGAAUUGUAGAUUGUGGAUGUGUGGUCUUCUGUAUGUUUGAAUGUUACUUAUGAUUCCCAAUAGUGUCAUGUUAUAUGGUUUUCAAUAUCACCAGUUUAGUAAUAAAUUGUAAUAAUCCGAUUUACUAAAGCCGGUUUGGUUUGUCUAAUUAAUUAUUUUUAUCAAAUCAAAACUCAGUUCCUUUAUUCACUUUAGCAUAAUCCGUGUAUAAAAUAUAUGGGUAUAUCUAUCUCCUUCUACCCAAAUCCAAGCCGCCAUCUUCUUUAUGUGAAAAGACGUUGCAUUCGUCUCCAAUCGUUACCACCACUGCCUCUUGCAAACUAAUCACCACCGGAUUCAUCGUAUUUGUUGUCCAUAGAGUAAUAGAGUCAUUUUUACUCUUGUUGUUGUUAUGUGACAGAACCGAGAUGUGGAGGAGAAAGUGACGUCGGAGCUACCGCUCUUCAUCAUCACUCAUAGCUGGAAUCUUCACAAUCCAUCGAAGAUCCCCACCAUUACUAUAUGAGCCGUACCAAGCCAACAACGUUAAGAUCCGAGCAAAUGAGAUCCCCAUCCACUCUUGCUUGCAUACCAAGCAUUUCUUCUCCACUUUCAAUCGAUCCACCAGAUACAUAUGGAACGAAGAUGAUGAAUCAAAUGAAUUUGAGAGAGACUAAUUGAAUUCAGAGAAUAGAUAGUUGCAGGGCAGUCUCGAAUUAAUUUUAGGCCCUGUUCAAAAAAAUAUAUUAAUCGUAUAUUUUAUCACGUAAUUUUAAAAUUUAAUAAAUUUGUUUGAUUUUUUUUUAAUUAUAAGUUCUAAAUUUAGCAUUAUAUCUAAAAUUUUAAAGUUUUUUACCAUAAUUUGUCUAUAUAUUUUGAAAAAUUCUUAAAUUUUUUAUUUUUAUAUUUCAGGGCCCUGUUCGACCGCUCCACUUGUGCGUGCUGUUAGACGGUUCUGGAUAGUUGACGUGUAGAAUUUGGAAUGAUGUGUAAACAAUGAAAUGUUUUGAUUGGUAGUAUAAUUUUUUUUAAUUAUUGACAUGACAACUCCACGAUAAUUAUGUUGGAGAGAAUUUUAUGAUAUUAUUGUGUUGAUUAUGAAGAGACUAAGAGUUUGAAGAAAGAGAAAAAUAAGAUGUUUCAUCGAUCAAGUGUUGUUCUUCGGCCCCACCAUAAAAUCCUAGAUAUUGAUGGUGUUAUGUGCCACUCAGUUUAUCAUUGUUUACUAAUUUCAUCUUAACCAGAACAUGCCAAAUGUAGCUAUAUAUACACUAACUUACAAAACUUGAUGAUAACUUUUUUAGAUUGCUACUUCUUGAAUUUAUAUUAUUUAUUUUGUAUGAUUUAUUUUGUAAAUUAAAUAUAUGGAUGAAAAUUUACUUGAAUUUAAAAAUAUUUAAACACAUAAACUUUAAAAUAAAAACAGUUUAAAAAUAUUUUUGAUUUUGAUUUUUCUUUUUUGAAAAAAUUCACAAAAAAUUGAAAAUGUUUGGAAAAUUAGUUUAUAAAAAGUUCAAAUUCAGAAACAUAUAAUUAGAAAACUACAAAAAAAAUAUUUUUACUUAACGAUAAAACAAUAAAAUAUAAUUAUACGUUCAAAAAGGUAACUAUAUGAAAUGUAAUGAAUUAUAGUUUUGGACAUAUGAUUUGGGUUGAAACUUGAAAGUGCAAAAGAUAUUUGGCAAUAAUGAUUAUUUUGUUUUCUAAAAUUUUCUAUCACAUAGAUUUUAAAAAUCUAAUGGAUACACGUUUUUUUUAAAUUAUGUCUUAUAAGUAAAAAUAGAGAUAAUUCAUCUUUCAAUAACACUAUAUUUAGUUAGAACUCGACAAUCAAUAGUAACUAAACUUUUUGAAUAA
Molecule: long non-coding RNA, 3265 nt
Organism: Brassica rapa (field mustard)
Lineage: Eukaryota; Viridiplantae; Streptophyta; Magnoliopsida; Brassicales; Brassicaceae
Source: RefSeq, a predicted model, not a curated record